CAGAUUCAUAUCGCAACGAAGUACAAAACUUUGAAGCAGAUAUCAGUGAAUGUGAGAUGCAGUUAACGUAACAAACAACCAUGAUCUGAUCAAUAUUGCUAUUAUCUUGGUUGACUAAUAGACUCUACAGUAUGUUACUUCCCAGUCAGCAUCACGGUCUAAAUCUGAUAAGAACAUGUUGGUUUAUCUCUCUUCUAUGGAUUGCCCUUAACUUCUGUGCUGUUCUGGGCCAUAUAUAUGAACUGCUCAAUGGAAAAUCGAAAG
Molecule: long non-coding RNA, 264 nt
Organism: Quercus lobata
Lineage: Eukaryota; Viridiplantae; Streptophyta; Magnoliopsida; Fagales; Fagaceae
Exons: 3
Source: RefSeq, a predicted model, not a curated record